RNA transcript from Nannospalax galili (Upper Galilee mountains blind mole rat), 2631 nucleotides. It is a transcript of the gene named protein disulfide isomerase family A member 5, with no coding region annotated. Lineage: Eukaryota; Metazoa; Chordata; Mammalia; Rodentia; Spalacidae. The transcript has 19 exons. The record is from RefSeq and is a predicted model, not a curated record.
UGGUGCGCAUGCUUUGGCAGACGUGGCACCGGGAACUCGGAGGCGGGGAGCGGCUGCGAAGUGGCCAAGGCUGUUGGCCGCGGCAGAGCUGGCGGGCGGGCGCGGGAGCCCGGGCGGAGACGGCAGGCGGCAGCGGGGGAUGGCGCGGGCCGGGCCGGCGUGGGGGCUGCUGCUGGCGAUCGGGGUGGUCCUGCCAACCUGGCUGUCCUCCACAAAGGUCUCUUCACUCAUUGAGAGAAUCUCUGACCCUAAGGACUUGAAGAAACUUCUCAGGACCCGAAAUAAUGUGCUGGUGCUUUAUUCCAAAUCUGAGAUGGCAGCUGAAAAUCACCUCAAGUUGUUGUCCACUGUGGCCCAGACAGUGAAAGGACAAGGCACCAUCUGCUGGGUAGACUGUGGUGACGCAGAGAGUAGAAAAUUGUGCAAGAAGAUGAAAGUUGACCUCAGCCCAAAGGACAAAAAGGUUGAAUUAUUCCAUUACCAGGAUGGUGCAUUUCACAUGGAAUAUAACCGAGCUAUGACGUUUAAGUCCAUAGUGGCCUUUCUGAAGGACCCUAAAGGCCCCCCACUGUGGGAAGAAGAUCCUGGAGCCAAAGAUGUUGUCCAUAUUGACAGUGAAAAGGACUUUAGACGCCUCCUGAAGAAAGAAGAGAAGCCUCUCCUUAUGAUGUUUUAUGCUCCCUGGUGCAGCAUGUGCAAGAGGAUCAUGCCACAUUUCCAGAAGGCUGCCACCCAGCUGCGAGGUCAUGUUGUGUUGGCUGGGAUGAACAUCUACCCCUCUGAGUUUGAAAACAUCAGGGAAGAGUACAAUGUUCGUGGCUACCCUACCAUCUGCUAUUUUGAGAAAGGACGGUUUCUAUUCCAGUAUGAAAACUACGGGUCCACUGCUGAGGAUAUUGUGGACUGGCUGAAGAAUCCACAGCCGCCACAGCCCCAGGCCCCCGAGACUCCCUGGGCAGAUGAGGGCGGCUCCGUUUAUCACCUGACCGAUGAAGACUUUGACCAGUUUGUGAAGGAGCACUCCUCUGUCCUCGUCAUGUUCCAUGCCCCAUGGUGUGGACACUGUAAGAAAAUGAAGCCAGAGUUUGAAAGUGCGGCUGAAGUCCUCCAUGGAGAAACUGGUAGCUCUGGUGUCCUUGCAGCUGUCGAUGCCACUGUGAACAAGGCCCUGGCAGAAAGGUUUCACAUCUCAGAGUUUCCUACACUGAAGUAUUUUAAGAAUGGAGAGAAACAUGCAGUGCCUGCACUCAGAACAAAGAAGAAGUUUAUUGAGUGGAUACACAACCCUGAGGCCCCUCCACCUCCAGAACCCACAUGGGAAGAACAGCAGACAAGUGUGUUGCAUCUAGCAGGGGACAACUUCCGGGACACCCUGAAGAAGAAGAAACACACCUUGGUCAUGUUCUAUGCUCCUUGGUGUCCACACUGUAAGAAGGUCAUCCCGCACUUUACUGCCACAGCUGAUGCCUUCAAAGAUGACCGAAAGAUUGCCUGUGCUGCUGUGGACUGUGUCAAGGACAAGAACCAAGACCUGUGUCAGCAGGAGGCUGUGAAGGCCUACCCCACUUUCCACUACUACCACUAUGGGAAGUUUGCAGAAAAGUACGAAAGUGAUCGCACGGAGAUACAGGCCCUGGGCCUGCUGCAUCCUCAUCUUGCUGGAAGUCUGAGGGGUUAUGCCAGAGCCAGCAGGGCCUCCCUGUGGGUCUGCCCAUGAAUUGGAAGAGAGGAUAGGAAGAACUUGUACUAACAGGAUCACAUGAGAUGGAUACUCAUGUUCUUUACCUUCAACAUCCUCUCUGGAAGGUGGCAUCACAUUCAAGCGCCACCUGUAUAUUAAAGGGCUCCUGAAGGCAGCGGAGAGGGCUUGGGGCUCUGUCAGUCAUCUGAGAACAGAACAGAGACUCUGGACCACAAAAUACCCUGUUGGGAAAACGGCUGGAUAUUGAGGGGAAAUAUACUUCUCAGUAUAUACUGCUCAGAAUUGAGGAUAAAGCUGCCAUAACCACGUCAGCUUCCAGAUUCAGCUUUGGUCGGAGAGCAGUCUUCCUGUCAGUCUCCUUCACCUGAGCUGAAAGCAAUGUGCCCACAGAUCCACGUCUUAUCUCAAGCCCUAAGUCCGUGGCAUUGAAGGAAGGGAAGGAAGAGAUGCCACCAGCAUCUAUCAUCAGAAGCUAGAAACUGCAGGAGCUGGGUUCCCUUAAUCACUGGAAUAUUUUGUCAUUUCAUUCACUAGAGAAGGAAUGGAUGACCAUCUUUACUUAUCUUUUCCCAUCUGCUAUGGUUCUCAAUCCAGGGUGCAUAUUUAACCACCUGGGAAGCUUACAAACUCUCAGGAUCAGGACUCUACUCCAAAGUAAUUGACCAGAAACUAGUAAUGGGACCCUAGCACUGAUAUGUUUAAAAGAUCUCCAGGUUGCUCUGAUGUACAGGUACACUGCCUAUGGGUAGAGAGCUGUAAGUGUCUCUGGAGCCCAGUGCAGAGCUUUUUUGUACAGUCAGUCCUCCAUAUCCAUAGAUCCCAGAUCCUUGGAUUCAACCAGCUGCUGACCAGGCCUAUGCUGCUUGCUUCUCUGCUGAACAUGUUCAGACUUUUCUCAUUGUUAUCCCCCAAACAACAUAAUAUGGCAA